This 1106-nucleotide ribosomal RNA is filed under the name Agaricomycetes sp. genotype e52ss039. Its description in RNAcentral is "eukaryotic LSU rRNA". The stretch from base 575 to 1106 matches the Rfam family "Eukaryotic large subunit ribosomal RNA", at positions 1 to 533 of the family's 3401-position model. The record is from RNAcentral. Lineage: Eukaryota; Fungi; Basidiomycota; Agaricomycetes.
CAUUAUCGAAUUCAAGCCCAACGCUUGUGCAUUCACUUGCACGCCGCGAGCUUCGUCUUCAUUCACACCUGUGCACCUUUGCGCCGACACGGUUCACGCCGCAGUACGCGCUUUUUUUAACACCUUUUUGUAUGGCCUUGAAUUUAAUUCGGUCGCUCUGUGAUGGAGUGGUCGUGAAAAACAAAUACAACUUUCAGCAACGGAUCUCUUGGCUCUCCCAUCGAUGAAGAACGCAGCGAACUGCGAUACGUAAUGUGAAUUGCAGAAUUCAGUGAAUCAUCGAAUCUUUGAACGCACCUUGCGCCGCUCGGUUUUCCGAGGGGCACGUCUGUUUGAGCGUCACGUUAAUUCCUCACUCGCCUUCGGGUUGAGUGGAAUUGGAUGCUGCUGUCUGCCCUCGGGCGACGGCUCGUCUGAAAUACAUUGCUGCCUGCAGAGCCUUGCGCGGAGCGAGGCUGACGAAACGGUGUGAUAUUUACUAUCUGCGCUGAAGUAGUCGGUUUCGAGCUGCUGCACUUGGAGCGCUCUGGGCUUAUAAUGAAACUCGUGCUCGUCACGAUUUAUUCUACGUGUUUGACCUCAAAUCAGAUGGGACUACCCGCUGAACUUAAGCAUAUCAAUAAGCGGAGGAAAAGAAACUAACAAGGAUUCCCCUAGUAACGGCGAGUGAAGAGGGAAAAGCUCAAAUUUAAAAUCUGGCGGUCUCCGGCCGUCCGAGUUGUAGUUUAGAGAGGUGUUUUCCGCGUCGGACCACACAAAAGUUCCUUGGAAUAGGGCUUCAUAGAGGGUGAGAAUCCCGUACAUGGUGUGGACUACCGGGGCUAUGUGAUGCACCCUCAAAGAGUCGAGUUGUUUGGGAAUGCAGCUCAAAAUGGGUGGUAAAUUCCAUCUAAAGCUAAAUAUUGGGGAGAGACCGAUAGCGCACAAGUACCGUGAGGGAAAGAUGAAAAGCACUUUGGAAAGAGAGUUAAACAGUACGUGAAAUUGCUGAAAGGGAAACGCUUGAAGUCAGUCGCGUCUGCUCAGACUCAGCCGUGGUUCUCCGCGGUGUACUUCUGUGCAGAUGGGCCAGCAUCGAUUUUGUCCAUCGUAUAAAUGCAUUUGGA